Molecule: ribosomal RNA, 843 nt
Filed under: Gibellula aurea
Lineage: Eukaryota; Fungi; Ascomycota; Sordariomycetes; Hypocreales; Cordycipitaceae
Description: partial large subunit ribosomal RNA
Rfam family: Eukaryotic large subunit ribosomal RNA
Source: RNAcentral
UGCCCCAGUAACGGCGAGUGAAGCGGCAGCAGCUCAAAUUUGAAAUCUGGCCCCCCCCCCCGGGGGGCCCGAGUUGUAGUUUGCAGAGGACGCUCUGGGCGCGGCGCCUUCCGAGUUCCCUGGAACGGGACGCCACAGAGGGUGAGAGCCCCGUCCGGUCGGACGCCAGGCCCGUGUAGAGCCCCUUCGAAGAGUCGAGUAGUUUGGGAAUGCUGCUCAAAGCGGGAGGUAUAUGUCUUCUAAAGCUAAAUACCGGCCAGAGACCGAUAGCGCACAAGUAGAGUGAUCGAAAGAUGAAAAGCACUUUGGAAAGAGGGUUAAAGAGCACGUGAAAUUGCUGAAAGGGAAGCGCCCGCGACCAGACGUGGGCCCGGCAGACCACCCGCCGCUCGUCGGCGGGGCACUCCGCCGGGCCCAGGCCAGCAUCAGCCCGGCGCGGGGGACAAAGGCGGCGGGAACGUGGCUCCCCCAGGGGAGUGUUAUAGCCCGCCGCGCAACGCCCCGCGGCCGGGCUGAGGCACGCGCACCGCACGGAUGCUGGCGUAAUGGUCGCCGGCGACCCGUCUUGAAACACGGACCAAGGAGUCGUCCUCGCAUGCGAGUGUUGGGGUGGCAAACCCCCGCGCGGAAUGAAAGUGAACGCAGGUGGGAGCCCCCUCCCGGGGCGCACCACCGACCGAUCCUGACGUCCUCGGAUGGAUUUGAGUAGGAGCAUGCGGGGCCGGACCCGAAAGAAGGUGAACUAUGCCUGCGUAGGGUGAAGCCAGAGGAAACUCUGGUGGAGGCUCGCAGCGGUUCUGACGUGCGAAUCGAUCGUCAAACGUGGGCAUGGGGCGAAAGACU